RNAcentral lists this ribosomal RNA (465 nucleotides) under uncultured bacterium. Its description in RNAcentral is "partial 16S ribosomal RNA". It matches the Rfam family "Bacterial small subunit ribosomal RNA", at positions 28 to 507 of the family's 1533-position model. The record is from RNAcentral.
GACGAACGCUGGCGGCGUGCUUAACACAUGCGAGUCGAACGGAGAGGCCCCUUUGGGGGUCCUCGAGUGGCGAACGGGUGAGUAACACGUGAGUAACCUGCCCUUGACUUCGGGAUAACUUCAGGAAACUGGGGCUAAUACCGGAUAGGAAUCCUUGCUGCAUGGUGGGGGUUGGAAAGCUUCGGCGGUUUUGGAUGGACUCGCGGCUUAUCAGCUUGUUGGUGGGGUAGUGGCUUACCAAGGCUUUGACGGGUAGCCGGCCUGAGAGGGCGACCGGCCACAUUGGGACUGAGAUACGGCCCAGACUCCUACGGGAGGCAGCAGUGGGGAAUAUUGCACAAUGGGCGGAAGCCUGAUGCAGCAACGCCGCGUGCGGGAUGACGGCCUUCGGGUUGUAAACCGCUUUCAGCAGGGGCGAAGCUUGUGGUGACGGUACCUGCAGAAGAAGCACCGGCUAACUACGUG